ACUCCUACGGGAGGCAGCAGUGGGGAAUAUUGCACAAUGGGGAAACCCUGAUGCAGCCAUGCCGCGUGUGUGAAGAAGGCCUUCGGUUGUAAAGCACUUUCAGUAGGGAGGAAGGUAGUGUAGUUAACACCUGCAUUAUUUGACGUUACCUACAGAAGAAGCACCGGCUAACUCCGUGCCAGCAGCCGCGGUAAUACGGAGGGGUGCGAGCGUUAAUCGGAAUUACUGGGCGUAAAGCGCAUGCAGGCGGCCUGUUAAGUCAGAUGUGAAAGCCCGGGGGCUUAACCUCGGAAUUGCAUUUGAAACUGGCAGGCUAGAGUCUUGUAGAGGGGGUAGAAGUUUCAGGUGUAGCGGUGAAAUGCGUAGAGAUCUGAAGGAAUACCAGUGGCGAAGGCGGCCCCUGGACAAAGACUGACGCUCAGAUGCGAAAGCGUGGGGAGGCAAACAGGAUUAGAUACCCUGGUAGACU
Molecule: ribosomal RNA, 469 nt
Filed under: uncultured bacterium
Lineage: Bacteria
Description: bacterial SSU rRNA
Rfam family: Bacterial small subunit ribosomal RNA
Source: RNAcentral